RNAcentral lists this ribosomal RNA (421 nucleotides) under uncultured bacterium. RNAcentral describes it as "bacterial SSU rRNA". It matches the Rfam family "Bacterial small subunit ribosomal RNA", at positions 355 to 774 of the family's 1533-position model. The record is from RNAcentral.
UAAGGAAUAUUGGUCAAUGGACGCAAGUCUGAACCAGCCAUGCCGCGUGAAGGAUGAAGGUCCUCUGGAUUGUAAGCUUCUUUUAUCUGGGACGAAAACGGGAUUUUUAUCUCAAUUGACGGUACCAGAGGAAUAAGCACCGGCUAACUCCGUGCCAGCAGCCGCGGUAAUACGGAGGGUGCGAGCGUUAUCCGGAUUUACUGGGUUUAAAGGGUGCGUAGGUGGGCUUAUAAGUCAGUGGUGAAAUCUCCGAGCUUAACUUGGAAACUGCCGUUGAUACUAUAGGUCUUGAAUUAUCUGGAGGUAAGCGGAAUAUGUCAUGUAGCGGUGAAAUGCUUAGAUAUAACAUAGAACACCAAUUGCGAAGGCAGCUUACUACAUAUAAAUUGACGCUGAGGCACGAAAGCGUGGGGAUCAAACA